CGUCCGCUCUGGGUUAGUCGGGUCCUAAGCUGAGGCCGACAGGCGUAGGCGAUGGAUAACAGGUUGAUAUUCCUGUACCACCAAUAUUCGUUUUAAGCGAUGGGGGGACGCAGUAGGAUAGGCGAAGCGUGCUGUUGGAGUGCACGUCCAAGCAGUAAGAUUGAGUGUUAGGCAAAUCCGGCACUCAUUAAGAUUGAGCUGUGAUGGGGAGAGGAAAUUGUUUCCUCGAGUCGUUGAUUUCACACUGCCGAGAAAAGCCUCUAGCUAGAAUAUCGGUGCCCGUACCGCAAACCGACACAGGUAGUCAAGAUGAGAAUUCUAAGGUGAGCGAGCGAACUCUCGUUAAGGAACUCGGCAAAAUGACCCCGUAACUUCGGGAGAAGGGGUGCUCUUUGGGGUUCACGCUCUGAAGAGCCGCAGUGAAUAGGCCCAAGCGACUGUUUAUCAAAAACACAGGUCUCUGCUAAACCGUAAGGUGACGUAUAGGGGCUGACGCCUGCCCGGUGCUGGAAGGUUAAGAGGAGUGGUUAGCGCAAGCGAAGCUACGAAUCGAAGCCCCAGUAAACGGCGGCCGUAACUAUAACGGUCCUAAGGUAGCGAAAUUCCUUGUCGGGUAAGUUCCGACCCGCACGAAAGGCGUAACGAUUUGGGCACUGUCUCAACGAGAGACUCGGUGAAAUCAUAGUACCGGUGAAGAUGCCGGUUACCCGCGACAGGACGGAAAGACCCCGUGGAGCUUUACUGUAGCCUGAUAUUGAAAUUCGGUACAGUUUGUACAGGAUAGGUAGGAGCCUUAGAAGCGUGAGCGCUAGCUUACGUGGAGGCACUGGUGGGAUACUACCCUAAUUGUAUUGGAUUUCUAACCCGCAGCACUUAUCGUGCUGGGAGACAGUGUCAGGCGGGCAGUUUGACUGGGGCGGUCGCCUCCUAAAGUGUAACGGAGGCGCUCAAAGGUUCCCUCAGAAUGGUUGGAAAUCAUUCAUAGAGUGUAAAGGCAUAAGGGAGCUUGACUGCGAGACCUACAAGUCGAGCAGGGUCGAAAGACGGACUUAGUGAUCCGGUGGUUCCGCAUGGAAGGGCCAUCGCUCAACGGAUAAAAGCUACCCCGGGGAUAACAGGCUUAUCUCCCCCAAGAGUUCACAUCGACGGGGAGGUUUGGCACCUCGAUGUCGGCUCAUCGCAUCCUGGGGCUGUAGUCGGUCCCAAGGGUUGGGCUGUUCGCCCAUUAAAGCGGUACGCGAGCUGGGUUCAGAACGUCGUGAGACAGUUCGGUCCCUAUCCGUCGUGGGCGUAGGAAAUUUGAGAGGAGCUGUCCUUAGUACGAGAGGACCGGGAUGGACAUACCUCUGGUGUACCAGUUGUCGUGCCAACGGCAUAGCUGGGUAGCUAUGUAUGGACGGGAUAAGUGCUGAAAGCAUCUAAGCAUGAAGCCCCCCUCGAGAUGAGAUUUCCCAACUUCGGUUAUAAGAUCCCUCGAAGAUGACGAGGUAAAUAGGUUCGAGGUGGAAGCGUAGUGAUACGUGGAGCUGACGAAUACUAAUCGAUCGAAGACUUAAUCAAAUU
This 1563-nucleotide ribosomal RNA is filed under the name Staphylococcus schleiferi subsp. schleiferi. RNAcentral describes it as "partial 23S ribosomal RNA". It matches the Rfam family "Bacterial large subunit ribosomal RNA", at positions 1367 to 2925 of the family's 2925-position model. Lineage: Bacteria; Bacillati; Bacillota; Bacilli; Caryophanales; Staphylococcaceae. The record is from RNAcentral.